This 529-nucleotide ribosomal RNA is filed under the name uncultured Nitrososphaerota archaeon. Its description in RNAcentral is "bacterial SSU rRNA". It matches the Rfam family "Archaeal small subunit ribosomal RNA", at positions 452 to 981 of the family's 1478-position model. The record is from RNAcentral. Lineage: Archaea; Thermoproteati; Nitrososphaerota.
CUGGUGUCAGCCGCCGCGGUAAUACCAGCACCUCGAGUGGUCAGGACGUUUAUUGGGCCUAAAGCAUCCGUAGCCGGCUUUGCAAGUCUUCGGUUAAAUCCACCUGCUCAACAGAUGGGCUGCUGGAGAUACUACAAAGCUAGGGAGUGGGAGAGGCAGACGGUAUUCAGUGGGUAGGGGUAAAAUCCUCUGAUCCAUUGAGGACCACCAGUGGCGAAGGCGGUCUGCCAGAACACGUUCGACGGUGAGGGAUGAAAGCUGGGGGAGCAAACCGGAUUAGAUACCCGGGUAGUCCCAGCUGUAAACGAUGCAAACUCGGUGAUGCAUUGGCUUAUGGCCAAUGCAGUGCCGCAGGGAAGCCGUUAAGUUUGCCGCCUGGGAAGUACGGACGCAAGUCUGAAACUUAAAGGAAUUGGCGGGGGAGCACCACAAGGGGUGAAGCCUGCGGUUCAAUUGGAGUCAACGCCAGGAAUCUUACCCGGGGAGACAGCAGAAUGAAGGUCAAGCUGAAGACUUUACCAGACAAACU